RNAcentral lists this small RNA (132 nucleotides) under Klebsiella pneumoniae. Its description in RNAcentral is "RtT sRNA". It matches the Rfam family "RtT RNA". Rfam says of the family: This family represents a bacterial cis-regulatory element known as RtT RNA. The exact function of RtT is unknown although it is thought that it may be involved in changing the cellular response in relation to amino acid starvation. Lineage: Bacteria; Pseudomonadati; Pseudomonadota; Gammaproteobacteria; Enterobacterales; Enterobacteriaceae. The record is from RNAcentral.
UGUUUGCACUUAGCGGGAAGGAUGAGAAGCUUCGACUAAGGUUCGACUCGAGCGAAGCGAGAGAACGUUGCCGCAGGCAACGGCCCGAAGGGCGAGGCGCUUUAGCGCCGAGUAAUCCUUCCCCCACCACCA